This 495-nucleotide ribosomal RNA is filed under the name uncultured bacterium. RNAcentral's name for it is "partial 16S ribosomal RNA". It matches the Rfam family "Bacterial small subunit ribosomal RNA", at positions 28 to 505 of the family's 1533-position model. The record is from RNAcentral.
GACGAACGCUGGCGGCGUGCCUAAUACAUGCAAGUAGAACGCUGAAGAGAGGAGCUUGCUCUUCUUGGAUGAGUUGCGAACGGGUGAGUAACGCGUAGGUAACCUGCCUUGUAGCGGGGGAUAACUAUUGGAAACGAUAGCUAAUACCGCAUAACAAUGGAUGACACAUGUCAUUUAUUUGAAAGGGGCAAUUGCUCCACUACAAGAUGGACCUGCGUUGUAUUAGCUAGUAGGUGAGGUAAUGGCUCACCUAGGCGACGAUACAUAGCCGACCUGAGAGGGUGAUCGGCCACACUGGGACUGAGACACGGCCCAGACUCCUACGGGAGGCAGCAGUAGGGAAUCUUCGGCAAUGGGGGCAACCCUGACCGAGCAACGCCGCGUGAGUGAAGAAGGUUUUCGGAUCGUAAAGCUCUGUUGUAAGUCAAGAACGGGUGUGAGAGCGGAAAGUUCACACUGUGACGGUAGCUUACCAGAAAGGGACGGCUAACUACG